GAUGAAGAAGUAGCGAAAUGCGAUAAGUAGUGUGAAUUGCAGAAUUCAGUGAAUCAUCGAAUCUUUGAACGCACAUUGCGCCCCUUGGUAUUCCAUGGGGCAUGCCUGUUCGAGCGUCAUUUGUACCUUCAAGCUCUGCUUGGUGUUGGGUGUUUGUCUCGCCUCUGCGUGUAGACUCGCCUCAAAACAAUUGGCAGCCGGCGUAUUGAUUUCGGAGCGCAGUACAUCUCGCGCUUUGCACUCAUAACGACGACGUCCAAAAGUACAUUUUUACACUCUUGACCUCGGAUCAGGUAGGGAUACCCGCUGAACUUAAGCAUAUCAAUAAGCGGAGGA
RNAcentral lists this unclassified non-coding RNA (336 nucleotides) under soil metagenome. Its description in RNAcentral is "partial contains 5.8S ribosomal RNA, internal transcribed spacer 2, and large subunit ribosomal RNA". The stretch from base 1 to 119 matches the Rfam family "5.8S ribosomal RNA", at positions 35 to 154 of the family's 154-position model. The record is from RNAcentral.